Molecule: transfer RNA, 75 nt
Filed under: Pyrinomonadaceae bacterium
Lineage: Bacteria; Pseudomonadati; Acidobacteriota; Blastocatellia; Blastocatellales; Pyrinomonadaceae
Description: tRNA-Thr
Rfam family: tRNA
About the family: Transfer RNA (tRNA) molecules are approximately 80 nucleotides in length. Their secondary structure includes four short double-helical elements and three loops (D, anti-codon, and T loops). Further hydrogen bonds mediate the characteristic L-shaped molecular structure. tRNAs have two regions of fundamental functional importance: the anti-codon, which is responsible for specific mRNA codon recognition, and the 3' end, to which the tRNAs corresponding amino acid is attached (by aminoacyl-tRNA synthetases). tRNAs cope with the degeneracy of the genetic code in two manners: having more than one tRNA (with a specific anti-codon) for a particular amino acid; and 'wobble' base-pairing, i.e. permitting non-standard base-pairing at the 3rd anti-codon position.
Source: RNAcentral
GCCCAAGUAGCUCAGAGGUAGAGCGUUUCCUUGGUAAGGAAGAGGUCACGGGUUCAAAUCCCGUCUUGGGCUCCA